Molecule: long non-coding RNA, 615 nt
Organism: Papaver somniferum (opium poppy)
Lineage: Eukaryota; Viridiplantae; Streptophyta; Magnoliopsida; Ranunculales; Papaveraceae
Exons: 2
Source: RefSeq, a predicted model, not a curated record
UACUGUAUAAAUAGAGGUCAUGGUCUUGUGUUUAGCAUUCACAAACGAAACAAGUAUCAAGUACUAUUAUAGUUAUCAUGGCAGCAGCUAAAAUCUCACUUUUCCUUGGCUGCAUCAUUGCUUCAAUUCUUAUCCAAUCGAUGGGUUCGUACGCUGCUCUUCCCCAUGUGUGUACAGGGUACGCAGGGUAUGUUCCUCAUAACUGGGGAAAUGAUUGUGGCGGGACUGCUGUGGUUACUAGUUAUCAAGAUUAUGCCUACCAAACGUGCUCGUCUUGGUGUCUAAUUUCUAUGGUUCAUGUUAACCCUGAAAUCGAGGUUAGGUGUGCCCAGAUACACUAUGAGGAGGAAACAGGAAAGCACGUAUGUACUUGCUAUAGCCAAUGUCUAGACUAGACGUCCCUUGAUCUCUGCUAAAACGGAUGUUAUGUUAUGUUAUGUUAUGUUAUGCCGGUCAGUCUACCAUGGAACGCUUGCCUGUUUUAUUAAAAGCAACUUAUGCUAGCUUCAUCGCAGUUGUACAUGUUGUUGUUUGUUUGCCGUUUUGUGUUAUUGUUGUAAUGGUGGCUGCACAACUGCUUCCAAAUAAAUAAAUUGUCAUUGGCGAUUGAUCUGA